Molecule: ribosomal RNA, 253 nt
Filed under: uncultured bacterium
Lineage: Bacteria
Description: partial 16S ribosomal RNA
Rfam family: Bacterial small subunit ribosomal RNA
Source: RNAcentral
UACGUAGGUGGCAAGCGUUGUCCGGAAUUAUUGGGCGUAAAGCGCGCGCAGGUGGUUCUUUAAGUCUGAUGUGAAAGCCCACGGCUCAACCGUGGAGGGUCAUUGGAAACUGGGGAACUUGAGUGCAGAAGAGGAAAGUGGAAUUCCAAGUGUAGCGGUGAAAUGCGUAGAGAUUUGGAGGAACACCAGUGGCGAAGGCGGCAUCCUGGACCAUUACUGACGCUGAGGCGCGAAAGUUAGGGGAGCAAACGGG